This 535-nucleotide long non-coding RNA is filed under the name Felis catus (domestic cat). RNAcentral describes it as "lncRNA (ENSFCAG00000050585.1)". Lineage: Eukaryota; Metazoa; Chordata; Mammalia; Carnivora; Felidae. The record is from RNAcentral.
AUAAGAUCCUCCACUCCAGGCUGCACUGAUGAUCAGGGUUCUAACAAAGUAGGUGUUCCUCUUGCCCUCACUCUUUCUCCUUCCACGAUAAAGCAAAACUCUUCUCAGUAACACACUAACUGUCGGAAACUGAUCUUCCACCGACUCUGUGACAUAAACAUUGCUUCCUCUGAGGCUGUUUCUUGACCUUGUAGCCAUCUUGACUGGCCAUCUCAUCUCUUCUAGCUGAAGCCCCUGCUGUUAUUCAAUUAAGCCUGGAUACCAGACCAGAGGCUCCUGGAUGGAGAGUCCCCAGCCCAGAUCUCCUGUGGGUACAGCACAGAACUCACACAGACAGAGCAGAGCGACUAACAGUUGGAUUUAGAGCUUUCUGGUUCACCCUGCACCGCAGGCAAAAAGCAAUGUUCCUUUGGGUUUGCACAGUGUCUGGAUGGAGUGAGUCAUUUAAUCCCAUAAGAUCUUGGAGCAAGUUCCUUCACCUUCCUGUCCUGAUUUUUGGGGAGAAGCAGUUGAGAAAUAUAAGUGCCUAAUAAAU